Microtus ochrogaster (prairie vole) is the source of this 1232-nucleotide RNA transcript. It is a transcript of the gene named sodium/potassium transporting ATPase interacting 4, with no coding region annotated. NCBI's taxonomy places the organism in Eukaryota, Metazoa, Chordata, Mammalia, Rodentia, Cricetidae. The record is from RefSeq and is a predicted model, not a curated record.
UAAGAGGAAGAGGGCAGACUGGGCUGGGGUCUGCUAGGCUUACCAGAGGCAAGCUGGGACGGAAUCCCUGGGAGGCGGCGUCCUCCAGGCAAGGAGGGGCGGGGGCAUCGUGGACCGAAGCUUUCGCACGCGGCGGGCUCCGGUCCACUCUAGCAGCAAAGGCGCCCGAGGGAGGCGUGAAUACCAUGGGCUCUUGCUCCGGCCGCUGCACGCUUCUUGCGCUCUGCGCUCUUCAGUUGAUGAGGAACUGGAGACAAGGGGGCAGCCUGACCCAAGAGAGGAACCCUCCAAAGGUCACUGCUGUGGAACGGCAGGUGUUUGACUUCCUGGGCUACCAGUGGGCACCCAUCCUGGCCAACUUCAUCCACAUCAUCGUGGUCAUCUUGGGGCUUUUCGGCACCCUCCAGUAUCGGCCACGCUACAUUGUGGUGUAUGCUGUGUGGGCAGCUGUCUGGGUUACCUGGAAUGUCUUCAUUAUCUGCUUCUACCUGGAAGUGGGGGGCCUCUCGAAGGACAGUGAGCUCUUGACCUUCAAUCUCUCCCGGCACCGCUCCUGGUGGAAAGAGCAUGGGCCAGGCUGUCUUCAUGGAGAGGCAGCCACAGCUGGCCUGGGAGCAGUGCAUGGCCAGUCCUUGGUGGUAGAUGCUGGAUGUGCCACGGUGUACAGCUAUAUGGAAGCCCUGCACAGUGGUCUGCAGAUCCUGCUGGCGCUCCUGGGUUUCGUCUAUGGCUGCUACGUGGUCAGCGUGCUCACAGAAGAAGAAGACAGCUUUGAUUUCAUUGGUGGAUUUGACCCAUUCCCCCUGUACCAUGUCAAUGAAAAGCCGUCCAGCCUCUUGUCCAAGCAGGCAUAUUUAUCACAUUUCCUUCUCUAAAGCAGUACCACGGCCCUACAGAUGCCAUGGCCAUGCCUGGGCUUCCUGGAAGUCUUGGAAUUGAGGCCUGCGUAAGUGAGAGAACAGCUGACCCUGCUCCCGCAACCCAGUUUCAGCCGCCAGAACAAUGAGGAGACUCCAGGCCUGGAGUCACAGCCCCGCUUCCCUGCCCGCCUAGCAUUCUUUCCAAAUUCCCCUUGGAUACCAGUGAGGGGCGGGGCACACUGCAGGCCAGGGUGGCUGCAACUGUGAGUUUGUAAUUUCUCUUUCUUUCUCUCUUCCUUUCUUUUUUUCUUUCUUCCUUCCUUUCUUUUUUUUUCUAAAAAAUAAAAUAGUGAGACAAGACAUGAGAGAAUA